RNAcentral lists this ribosomal RNA (292 nucleotides) under uncultured bacterium. RNAcentral's name for it is "partial 16S ribosomal RNA". It matches the Rfam family "Bacterial small subunit ribosomal RNA", at positions 505 to 796 of the family's 1533-position model. The record is from RNAcentral.
GUGCCAGCCGCCGCGGUAAUACAGAGGCCCCAAGCGUUACUGAGAAUCACUGGGUUUAAAGGGUGCGUAGGUGGUCCGUUAAGUUCGUUGUGAAAGCCCUGGGCUCAACCCAGGAACUGCUUCGAAUACUGGCGGACUUGAGGCUAGUAGGGGUUACUGGAACUGACGGUGGAGCGGUGAAAUGCGUAGAUAUCGUCAGGAACGCCAAUGGUGAAGACAGGUAACUGGGCUAGUUCUGACACUGAGGCACGAAAGCGUGGGGAGCGAACGGGAUUAGAAACCCCCGUAGUCC